AGAGUUUGAUCCUGGCUCAGGAUGAACGCUAGCGACAGGCUUAACACAUGCAAGUCGAGGGGCAGCGGGGGCUGUGGCAACACAGCCCGCCGGCGACCGGCGCACGGGUGAGUAACACGUAUGCAACCUGCCCGUCACAGGGGGAUAAGCGGAAGAAAUUCCGUCUAAUACCGCGUAUAUCAACCGGGGGCAUCCCCGGUUGAAGAAAGAUUUAUCGGUGACGGAUGGGCAUGCGGCGCAUUAGCUGGUUGGCGGUGUAACGGACCACCAAGGCGACGAUGCGUAGGGGUUCUGAGAGGAAGGUCCCCCACACUGGUACUGAGACACGGACCAGACUCCUACGGGAGGCAGCAGUGAGGAAUAUUGGUCAAUGGGCGUGAGCCUGAACCAGCCAAGUCGCGUGAGGGAAGAAUGUCCUAUGGAUUGUAAACCUCUUUUGUCAGGGAGCAAAACCGGAACGCGUUCCGGGUUGAGAGUACCUGAAGAAAAAGCAUCGGCUAACUCCGUGCCAGCAGCCGCGGUAAUACGGAGGAUGCGAGCGUUAUCCGGAUUUAUUGGGUUUAAAGGGUGCGUAGGCGGCAUGUUAAGUCAGCGGUAAAAUUAAGUGGCUCAACCACUUCGAGCCGUUGAAACUGGCGUGCUUGAGUGGGCGAGAAGUAUGCGGAAUGCGUGGUGUAGCGGUGAAAUGCAUAGAUAUCACGCAGAACUCCGAUUGCGAAGGCAGCAUACCGGCGCCCGACUGACGCUGAAGCACGAAAGCGUGGGUAUCGAACAGGAUUAGAUACCCUGGGUGAUACAGUGAAAACGUUAAGCAUUCCACCUGGGGAGUACG
This 832-nucleotide ribosomal RNA is filed under the name human gut metagenome. RNAcentral's name for it is "bacterial SSU rRNA". It matches the Rfam family "Bacterial small subunit ribosomal RNA", at positions 8 to 884 of the family's 1533-position model. The record is from RNAcentral.